UGGGGACUAUUGGACAAUGGGCGAAAGCCUGAUCCAGCCAUGCCGCGUGUGUGAAGACGGUCCUCGGAUUGUAAAGCACUUUAAGUUGGGAGGAAGGGCAGUAAGCGAAUACCUUGCUGUUUUGACGUUACCGACAGACUAAGCACCGGCCAACUCUGUGCCAGCAGCCGCGGUAAUACAGAGGGUGCAAGCGUUAAUCGGAAUUACUGGGCGUAAAUCGCGCGUAGGUGGUUCGUUAAGUUGAAUGUUAAAGCCCCGGGCUCAACCUGGGAACUGCAUCCAAAACUGGCGAGCUCGAGUAGAGCAGAGGGUGGUGGAAUAUCCUGUGUAGCGGUGAAAUGCGUAGAUAUAGGAAGGAACACCAGUGGCGAAGGCGACCACCUGGGCUCAUACUGACACUGAGGUGCGAAAGCGUGGGGAGCAAACAGG
RNAcentral lists this ribosomal RNA (429 nucleotides) under Pseudomonadota bacterium. Its description in RNAcentral is "Proteobacteria bacterium partial 16S ribosomal RNA". It matches the Rfam family "Bacterial small subunit ribosomal RNA", at positions 355 to 776 of the family's 1533-position model. Lineage: Bacteria; Pseudomonadati; Pseudomonadota. The record is from RNAcentral.